Molecule: ribosomal RNA, 474 nt
Filed under: uncultured organism
Description: partial 16S ribosomal RNA
Rfam family: Bacterial small subunit ribosomal RNA
Source: RNAcentral
UACACUCCUACGGGAGGCAGCAGUGGGGAAUUUUGGACAAUGGGCGAAAGCCUGAUCCAGCAAUGCCGCGUGAGUGAAGAAGGCCUUCGGGUUGUAAAGCUCUUUUGUCAGGGAAGAAACGGUGAAAGCUAAUAUCUUUUGCUAAUGACGGUACCUGAAGAAUAAGCACCGGCUAACUACGUGCCAGCAGCCGCGGUAAUACGUAGGGUGCAAGCGUUAAUCGGAAUUACUGGGCGUAAAGCGUGCGCAGGCGGUUUUGUAAGUCUGAUGUGAAAUCCCCGGGCUCAACCUGGGAAUUGCAUUGGAGACUGCAAGGCUAGAAUCUGGCAGAGGGGGGUAGAAUUCCACGUGUAGCAGUGAAAUGCGUAGAUAUGUGGAGGAACACCGAUGGCGAAGGCAGCCCCCUGGGUCAAGAUUGACGCUCAUGCACGAAAGCGUGGGGAGCAAACAGGAUUAGAUACCCCUGUAGUCCCA